Coccinella septempunctata (seven-spotted ladybird) is the source of this 859-nucleotide long non-coding RNA. RefSeq lists it as uncharacterized. Lineage: Eukaryota; Metazoa; Arthropoda; Insecta; Coleoptera; Coccinellidae. The record is from RefSeq and is a predicted model, not a curated record. The transcript is spliced from 2 exons.
UCCAAGCAACAGACAUGCAUACAAUCCCCAUGUGGAUUUUACAAUUACAUAUUAUGGUUCUACAAAAAUAAUGCAACAAAAAUCUGCCAUUUAGUACAUCCUUAUGAAACUGCUACUGUUUAGUACUAAAAACAAUAGAAAUGAAUGGCUUCAAAUAUAAAAGGGGAUUCUAACAUCUUAAAAAGAUAUAAUUUAAUCCAUUGAGAAGGCCAAGUUUGUUUAUACUGCAUUAUGGAUGUUUAAAAUGAUUUUGAGUCUAUGACAAGUCUAUUAGAUCGGUGCAUGGGCUAUUUGUCCAGGUUCCACAAAAGAAAAAAAAACUUAGGCAGCUUCUUCCAAUCAAAUUCAACCAAUACUAGCUAUCAAGUGUUUCCUGAAUCAUAAUUGGCUAUUUAGCCUAUUUGGCUCAUCUCAUAGGGGUUUCAACCUUAUACAUAUACCAUAUACAAAAAGAAAUUUUUCAAGAUCAGUACAGGAAAUAUAUAGUGAAAAAAAAAUUUGGUAAAAUUAGUAAAUUAUGAUUUUGGAAAAAUAUUUCAAAACUAAAUCAAAUUUUUUUUCACUAAAAUGAGUUAUUCUACCACUACACAUCUUCAGUUGGGUAAAGGUAAAUAUGCAUUAGGAAACCAAAAAGAUUUCAUAUCAUCCAAGAUUUAUAUAAUAUAAUUGAAAAACCCUAUUAGCUAACUUUUUUGUCUCAUUUCACUACAUAGGAUCAAAGAUUCAAUAGGUACAAAGAACAUCAUACCUCAACCUUAAAUUAUUCAAAUAUACAAUUAAUAUGAAGAAGGGUAAAUCUUACCUAUAUGCCAAUGUCAUACACUGAAAUAAUUUGGAUAAACUAGUAUCAAUCUCCAAA